GUGGGAACGGUGCUUAGAGACCUACAGACACAGAUAUUUAGUCCUCUGCUGCCACCAGCCCAUGGUCAACUGCCAAAUGGACCUGAGUGAUUGGGACCUGGAUCUGGAGUCAAGGUAGACCCACACGGGUGCAGGCUAGGAACACCCUUCCCCACAGAUGGUUUUGUUCAAUUUCACCCUGAGCUUCUUCUUUGGUCUGUGUCAGCCUCUGGGGCCUCGAAACCUUCUUGGAGGAUCUGCAACUGGCUGCCCAUGGCGGCAGUGACCCUGAGGCCGAGGCUUUUCCAUCUUAAAAUUCAAUUCCUGUCAACAUUUUGGCAUUAUCUUCCCUAAAAGAUUCAGGCUGCGUAAUACUCAAUGCCAGUGGCCACAGACUGACCAGGAUCAGUUUCAAGAGUCAACAGAAAUCACUCCAACAUUGGCAACUGGGUAACAGAAGAAAGUGAAACACCAGAAGAGCUGAAAGGGUCAUGUGACCAAAAAAAAGAAGGAAUGUUUGCAAAAGUGUUGGGGAUGGGAGAGGAUGUCUGCAAACAUCCAUGUACCUGCGAGAAAUGGAAGAUAAUGGAGUUGUGGCUCUAAUGUGUGGUUUCACAAGCCAGAAGGACCAUCACAGACAAGACACACAGCACAGAAAAGCAUACAGAUGAGAACUGCAGUUCCCACAUUCAGUCA
Molecule: long non-coding RNA, 675 nt
Organism: Suricata suricatta (meerkat)
Lineage: Eukaryota; Metazoa; Chordata; Mammalia; Carnivora; Herpestidae
Exons: 5
Source: RefSeq, a predicted model, not a curated record